Molecule: ribosomal RNA, 305 nt
Filed under: uncultured bacterium
Lineage: Bacteria
Description: bacterial SSU rRNA
Rfam family: Bacterial small subunit ribosomal RNA
Source: RNAcentral
UUCCUACGGGGGGCAGCAGUCGGGAAUAUUGCGCAAUGGAGGAAACUCUGACGCAGUGACGCCGCGUAUAGGAAGAAGGUUUUCGGAUUGUAAACUAUUGUCGUGAGGGAAGAAAUUGACAGUACCUCAGGAGGAAGCUCCGGCUAACUAUGUGCCAGCAGCCGCGGUAAUACAUAGGGAGCAAGCGUUAUCCGGAUUUAUUGGGUUUAAAGGGUGCGCAGGCGGUCUGUUAAGUCAGCGGUCAAAGCCCGGGGCUCAACCCCGGCCCGCCGUUGAAACUGGCAGUCUCGAGUUGGAGAGAAGUA